This 253-nucleotide ribosomal RNA is filed under the name uncultured bacterium. RNAcentral describes it as "partial 16S ribosomal RNA". It matches the Rfam family "Bacterial small subunit ribosomal RNA", at positions 524 to 776 of the family's 1533-position model. The record is from RNAcentral.
UACGUAGGGUGCGAGCGUUAAUCGGAAUUACUGGGCGUAAAGCGUGCGCAGGCGGUUCGUUGUGUCGGCGGUGAAAGCCCCGGGCUCAACCUGGGAAUGGCCGUUGAAACUGGCGAACUGGAGUGUGGCAGAGGGGGGUGGAAUUUCGCGUGUAGCAGUGAAAUGCGUAGAGAUGCGGAGGAACACCGAUGGCGAAGGCAGCCCCCUGGGCUGACACUGACGCUCAGGCACGAAAGCGUGGGGAGCAAACAGG